RNAcentral lists this transfer RNA (72 nucleotides) under archaeon. Its description in RNAcentral is "tRNA-Tyr". It matches the Rfam family "tRNA". From Rfam's summary of the family: Transfer RNA (tRNA) molecules are approximately 80 nucleotides in length. Their secondary structure includes four short double-helical elements and three loops (D, anti-codon, and T loops). RNAcentral also lists the same sequence under 3 other names. The record is from RNAcentral.
CCCCCUGUAGCUCAAUGGCAGAGCGUCCGGCUGUAGACCGGAAGGUUGCAGGUUCAAAUCCAGCCGGGGGGA